This 202-nucleotide unclassified non-coding RNA is filed under the name fungal sp. RNAcentral's name for it is "partial contains 5.8S ribosomal RNA, internal transcribed spacer 2, and large subunit ribosomal RNA". The record is from RNAcentral. Lineage: Eukaryota; Fungi.
CGCACAUUGCGCCCUUUGGAAUUCCGAAGGGCACGCCUGUUCGAGCGUCAUUUCAACCUCAAGUCUUCUUGGUCAUGGAUCAGCGCGGCUGGUCUCAAAGUCGUCGGCGACGGUGCCUGUAGCGUGCUACUCUAUGGACGCCGUUGGCCCACUUCUCUCUCAGGUUGACCUCGGAUCAGGCGGGGAUACCCGCUGAACUUAA